Molecule: ribosomal RNA, 465 nt
Filed under: Vreelandella stevensii
Lineage: Bacteria; Pseudomonadati; Pseudomonadota; Gammaproteobacteria; Oceanospirillales; Halomonadaceae
Description: partial 16S ribosomal RNA
Rfam family: Bacterial small subunit ribosomal RNA
Source: RNAcentral
CCUACGGGGGGCUGCAGUGGGGAAUAUUGGACAAUGGGGGCAACCCUGAUCCAGCCAUGCCGCGUGUGUGAAGAAGGCCCUCGGGUUGUAAAGCACUUUCAGUGAGGAAGAACGCCUGGUGGUUAAUACCCAUCAGGAAAGACAUCACUCACAGAAGAAGCACCGGCUAACUCCGUGCCAGCAGCCGCGGUAAUACGGAGGGUGCGAGCGUUAAUCGGAAUUACUGGGCGUAAAGCGCGCGUAGGUGGCUUGAUAAGCCGGUUGUGAAAGCCCCGGGCUCAACCUGGGAACGGCAUCCGGAACUGUGAAGCUAGAGUGCAGGAGAGGAAGGUAGAAUUCCCGGUGUAGCGGUGAAAUGCGUAGAGAUCGGGAGGAAUACCAGUGGCGAAGGCGGCCUUCUGGACUGACACUGACACUGAGGUGCGAAAGCGUGGGUAGCAAACAGGAUUAGAUACCCUGGUAGUC